ACACUUACCUGACAGGGGAGGUAUCAUGUUUUUAAAGGUGGUUUUCCCAGGGAAAGGCUUAUCUAUCGCAUUCUUAAUGUGCUGACCCCUGCAAUUUCCCCAAAUGUGGGAAACUUUCCUCACACUUUCC
RNAcentral lists this small nuclear RNA (130 nucleotides) under Propithecus coquereli (Coquerel's sifaka). RNAcentral's name for it is "U1 spliceosomal RNA (ENSPCOG00000003697.1)". It matches the Rfam family "U1 spliceosomal RNA". From Rfam's summary of the family: U1 is a small nuclear RNA (snRNA) component of the spliceosome (involved in pre-mRNA splicing). The record is from RNAcentral. Lineage: Eukaryota; Metazoa; Chordata; Mammalia; Primates; Indriidae.